AAGCAGAGAUUAAACCUCGUACCUUUUGCAUCAUGACUUAGCUAGCACCCCCAAGCAAAGAGCACCUUUAGUUUGAUACCCCGAAACUAGUGUGAGCUACUCCAAGACAGCCUAUUCAAUAGGGCAAACCCGUCUCUGUGGCAAAAGAGUGGGAAGAGCUUUGAGUAGAGGUGACAGACCUACCGAACUUAGUUAUAGCUGGUUGCCUGAAAACUGGAUAAAAGUUCAGCCUCCCGGCUUCUCCAUUCAUAUACUAUUCUAAACGACUACCCUUAGAUCUAAAAGAAAUCCGCGAGAGUUAUUCUAAGGAGGUACAGCUCCUUUGAACCAAAAUACAAUUUUCUAAGGAGGGUAAAGAUCAUAAUCUUAACCAAGGCAGAAUGUCCUAGUGGGCCUAAAAGCAGCCACCCCCUUCAGAAAGCGUUAAAGCUCAGACAUACCCCCCGCCCCAUAUUCCGAUAACCUAAUCUUAACCCCCUAACCCUAUCAGGCCGUUCCAUGCAGACAUGGAAGCGACAAUGCUAACAUGAGUAAUAAGAGGACUAUACCAAUCUGCGCUCCUCUCCUAGCACACGUGUAUAUCGAAACGGACCAACCACCGAAACUUAACGGCCCCAAACAAAGAGGGAAUUGAAAAACAAACAUGAUAUACUAGAAAAUCACCCAACACACAACCGUUAACCCCACACUGGUGUGCCAAAAGGAAAGACUAAAAGAAAAAGAAGGAACUCGGCAAACACAAGCCUCGCCUGUUUACCAAAAACAUCGCCUCUUGUACAACCACAUUAAAGCAAAUAAGAGGUCCCGCCUGCCCAGUGACAACUGGUUCAACGGCCGCGGUAUUUUGACCGUGCAAAGGUAGCGUAAUCACUUGUCUUUUAAAUGAAGACCUGUAUGAAUGGCAUCACGAGGGCUUAACUGUCUCCUUUUUCUAAGUCAGUGAAAUUGAUCUCCCCGUGCAGAAGCGGGGAUAAAAACAUAAGACGAGAAGACCCUAUGGAGCUUUAGACACCAGAAUAGCGCAUGUUAAGACACCCUAAAUAAAGGACUGAACUUAAUGACCCCUCUAUUCCAAUGUCUUCGGUUGGGGCGACCAUGAGGAACAAAAACCCCUCAUGUGGAAUGGGAGUACCACAACCCACACACUAUUUUUCCUACACUCCUACAACCAAGAGCUACAACUCAAACUAACAGAAAUUCUGACCAACAAUGAUCCGGCAAUACCGAUCAACGGACCAAGUUACCCUAGGGAUAACAGCGCAAUCCCCUUUUAGAGCCCAUAUCGACAAGGGGGUUUACGACCUCGAUGUUGGAUCAGGACAUCCUAAUGGUGCAGCCGCUAUUAAGGGUUC
RNAcentral lists this ribosomal RNA (1352 nucleotides) under Lates calcarifer (barramundi perch). RNAcentral describes it as "partial 16S ribosomal RNA". It matches the Rfam family "Bacterial large subunit ribosomal RNA", at positions 568 to 2574 of the family's 2925-position model. The record is from RNAcentral. Lineage: Eukaryota; Metazoa; Chordata; Actinopteri; Centropomidae.